CCUACGGGAGCCAGCAGUGGGGAAUUUUGGACAAUGGGCGCAAGCCUGAUCCAGCCAUGCCGCGUGAGUGAAGAAGGCCUUCGGGUUGUAAAGCUCUUUCGGUAGGAACGAAAUGGUUCGUGCUAAUACCACGGACUGAUGACGGUACCUGAAGAAGAAGCACCGGCUAACUACGUGCCAGCAGCCGCGGUAAUACGUAGGGUGCAGGCGUUAAUCGGAAUUACUGGGCGUAAAGCGUGCGCAGGCGGUUUCUUAAGUCAGAUGUGAAAGCCCCGGGCUUAACCUGGGAACUGCGUUUGAAACUGGGAGACUAGAGUGUGGCAGAGGGGGGUGGAAUUCCACGUGUAGCAGUGAAAUGCGUAGAUAUGUGGAGGAACACCGAUGGCGAAGGCAGCCCCCUGGGUUAACACUGACGCUCAUGCACGAAAGCGUGGGGAGCAAACAGGAUUAGAUACCCUGGUAGUCCACGCCCUAAACUAUGUCAACUGGUUGUCGGGGGAUUAGCUCCCUUGGUAACGAAGCUAACGCGUGAAGUUGACCGCCUGGGGAGUACGGCCGCAAGGUUAAAACUCAAAUGAAAUUGACGGNUUGAGACGNGCGAGACGACGACGAGGAGAGG
This 619-nucleotide ribosomal RNA is filed under the name uncultured bacterium. RNAcentral describes it as "bacterial SSU rRNA". It matches the Rfam family "Bacterial small subunit ribosomal RNA", at positions 338 to 946 of the family's 1533-position model. The record is from RNAcentral.